AUGUAUUGCAAUUGAAAAAAAAAACCCAAAUUGUAGAAUAAAAUAAAAAUAAAUAAAAAUAUUCUUCACCUCACACGUACGUGCUCCCACCUUCAUCUCCACGCCGUCUCCUCCUCCGUUUCAGGUCACCGCCGCCUUCCUUCUCGCAGGAAGAGAAGGUGACAAAGGAUCUUAAUCACCUUCUUUGGAGUUGCCAGAUGCUUGUUCGUUUUGGGAUUGUUUUUUUCCCAUACUUUUGGAGUUUGUUUGGCUCAAUCUAAAAGGUUGCAAACCUAUAGUGGAUGAGGUGCUUUUGCAUCUAUUCCUUUGUGGGAAGGAUCAUUUACUUCAUCUGGGUGGAUUUUGUGCAGUUUUCUGGGGUCUUGGCUUGAGAGAAACAUAUAAAUUUUCAAAGAAGUGUUCUUGAGAGGAGGUUUGGUCCUUCAUUUGGUUCAAUUCCUCUCCUUGGGCCUCGGGUUGAAGAUAUUAUAGGAGAGUGAGCUGAUCUUUAUGCAGUUCAUCCACAAUGGACCGUCAAUAUUUUUUUAAUGUCACUUAAAACUCCGCAUAGGUUUGGUUAUUUAGCAUAUGAAACAAUGUUGCCUCAGAAACCAUUUCUUUGGAGAUUCAAUCCUCUCUCCACUCCCUUUGUGUUUCCCAUGCUUCCCGUCUCCAGUCGACAACCGAUAGAGUCUUUUGCCACUUUGGAAUUGAUCUCAUUGAGCUCAUCACAAGUUUCGCCAUCACAUUCUUUGGCUUUUCUUUUAGAAUCUGCAGACUAUGUUAAGCUAGUUCAAUCAGCUAUUAAAACUGGGAACUUGAACCAUGGCAAGCUUGUUCAUUCCCAUAUGAUUAAAACUUCUUUCAGGCCUUGUCUAUUUUUGCAGAAUAAUCUUCUUAACAUGUACUGCAAAUGUGGGGAUACACACUCUGCUGACAAAUUGUUUGAUAAAAUGUCAAAACCAAACAUUAUAACUUACAACUCUUUGAUUUCUGGAUAUAUCCAGAUAGGCACCCUUGACAAGGUCAUGAUUUUGUUUAAUAAAGCAAGAAGACUUGGUUUGAAACUCGAUAAGUACACUUGUGCAGGCGCUCUUACAGCAUGUAGUCAAAGUGGGAAUCUUUCUGCAGGUAAGAUGAUUCAUGGGUUAAUUUUAGUUCGUGGUUUAGGCUCCCAAGUUGUUUUGACCAAUUCCCUUAUUGAUAUGUAUUCAAAAUGCGGCCAGGUUGAUCAUGCAAGGAUUUUGUUUGACCAUUCUGAUAAGUUAGAUGGUGUUUCUUGGAAUUCGUUGAUUGCCGGUUAUGUACAAAGUGGAAAAUAUGAGGAGCUGUUGACAAUUCUGCAGAAAAUGCAUCAACAUGGAUUGGCGUUCAACACUUAUACUCUAGGAAGUGCCCUGAAGGCUUGUAGCUCAAACUUCAAUGGUUGUAAAAUGUUUGGGACAAUGUUACAUGACCUCACAAUCAAACUCGGUCUACAUCUGGAUGUUGUUGUUGGCACUGCAUUGCUUGAUAUGUAUGCAAAAACUGGAAGUUUGGAUGAUGCUAUUCGAAUCUUUGACCAAAUGGUGGACAAAAAUGUUGUGAUGUAUAAUGCAAUGAUGGCUGGCUUGCUCCAACAAGAGACAAUUGAAGAUAAAUUUGCGUACAAAGCCCUCAAUCUUUUCUUUGAGAUGAAAAGCUGUGGAAUAAAACCUUCCAUGUUUACAUAUUCAAGCUUAGUUAAAGCUUGUAUUACUGUUGAGGAUUUUGAAUUUGCAAAGCAAGUUCAUGCCUUAAUGUGCAAGAACGGCCUUCAAUCGGAUGAGUACAUUGGGAGUAUUUUUAUUGAUUUGUAUUCUCUGUUAGGUUCAAUGAAGGAUGCUUUAUCAUGCUUUAACUCAAUUCAUAAUUUGACUAUAGUCCCAAUGACUGCCAUGAUUGUUGGUUAUCUUCAAAAGGGAGAAUUUGGAAGUGCAUUGGGUUUGUUCUAUGAUCUUUUGACCUCCGAAGAGAAACCUGAUGAGUUUAUUUUGUCCACAAUCUUGAGUGCUAGUGCAAAUAUGGGCAUGUUAAGAUCUGGAGAACAAAUCCAGGGGUAUGCAACCAAGAUAGGCAUCUCGAGAUUCACCAUUUUUCAGAAUUCACAGAUUUGGAUGUAUGCGAAGUCUGGAGAUCUAUAUGCAGCCAAUCUAACCUUUCAACAGAUGGAAAAUCCUGAUAUUGUGUCCUGGUCAACAAUGAUCUGCAGCAAUGCACAGCAUGGGCAUGCAAUGGAGGCUUUGAGAUUUUUUGAGCUGAUGAAGAGUUGUGGAAUUGAGCCUAACCACUAUGCCUUUCUUGGAGUUCUAAUUGCGUGUAGUCACAGAGGGCUCGUUGAAGAAGGAUUAAGGUACUUUGAUUCCAUGGAGAAAGAUUACAAUAUGACAAUUCAUGUCAAGCACUGUGUUUGUGUUGUUGAUCUACUUGGUCGAGCUGGAAGGUUGGCCGAUGCAGAAAGUUUAAUUUUGCGCUUAGGUCUCGAGCACGAACCAGUGGUGUGGCGAGCUUUACUAAGUGCCUGCAGGAUCCACAAAGAUACAUUUACUGCACAACGUGUUGCACGGAAAGUAAUGGAGCUUGAACCUCUAGCAUCUGCAUCUUAUGUCCUUCUUUAUAACAUUUAUAUGGAUGCUGGAAACAAGUCAGGUGCCUCAAAAGUUAGAAAGUUAAUGGAAGAUCGGAUAAUUAAGAAAGAACCUGGUCUAAGCUGGAUACAAGUAGGAGAUAAAGUCUACUCGUUUGUUUCGGGUGAUCGAUCUCACAAAAAUAGUGAAUUGAUUUAUGGAAAGUUAAACGAAAUGUUAGCAAGGACAAAGAGAUUAGAUUCGGCAAAGGAUGCAUUAUAUUACAAAUUUGAGCAUGAAUACAUGACCAAUGUGAACUAUCACAGUGAAAAGCUGGCUGUGGCUUUUGGGGUUCUCCAUUUGUCAGAAUCAGCUCCAGUGAGAGUGAUGAAGAACCUGAGAAUUUGUUUGGACUGUCACAUGGCUAUGAAGCUCUUUUCAAUAGUUGAGAAAAGAGAGAUAAUUCUUAGAGAUUCAAUUCGUUUCCAUCAUUUCAAAGACGGGUCUUGCUCUUGUGGGGACUAUUGGUAGUUGAGAUGGAUUCAUAUUCGUCAUUUACGUUGAAAAUUGAAGUAUCGGCAAUCUGAAAAGGCUAAAUCCAAUUUUUUCUAGGCUAUCUCAUAUUUAAAAGGAUAGAGAACGAUCUGUAAGUAUGAAGAUACAGACCAUUUUUUUCUUCUUGCAAGUCUUCCAUCUUCAUAGAUAGCAAAUGCAAUCUGGAGGGAGGCUGUUUCUUCUGAGAUUGCCAAGGAACUUUAGAUUUAUCAAGCCUCAGAGAAUAAGUUCUUCUGGUCACUGAUAGUGAGCAGAGGAACUUCAUUAUGAUGUCAAGGAAGACUAUCCUCCUAUGUACCUUACCACGCUUUUAUCUCGGAAGUGAAUCAAUUUUGUGAUGCUAUGGAGGGCUGCUAAAGUGCGAAAGUGAACCUGGACUCGAAUAAAAAAGGAUUAUGCACGUUGGGGCCCUUCAGCGACUAUCGCACUGCGACACUUCGAGAACCAACUCUGGGCUCUGACAACCACUUUCGAUGACAACUCCGGUGACCAACUCCGGCUACCAAUUUCGGAUUUUGGUAACAACCUCCGAUGACAACUAUGGCGACCCAACUCCGACGACCAUCUUCGCAUGACUGACAACUACCUUCGACUAUAAACUCCGAUGAAAAUCAUUUUCGAUGACCAUCUUUGAGUAAGCAACUCCGAUGCCAACUUAGGACUCCGACAACUACCUUCGGCGACGAAACUCCGACAACCAAUUCCAAUACCACCUUCAUGCAACCAACUUCGAGCUCCAACAACCACCUUCGACGACAAACUUUGGUGAAAAUCAUCUUCAAUGAUCAACUUUGACAAUCACCACCGCGACCAACUCCGACGACCAACUUUGGGCUCCGAAAAUCACCUUUGACGACAAACUCCGGCUAUUAACUCUAAUACCACAUUCAUGUGACCGAUUUUAAGCUCCAAUAACCACCUCCAACUACAAUUUUCAGCUAAAAUCAUCUUUGAUAAUCAACUUCGAUAACCAUUUGACUGUUAUAAGAAUGAUGGCUGUUAAAAUUUGUUGUAGGAUGGUGAUUAUAUAAAUAAUAGUAUUUUGUCUACAUUAAUUGAAUUCACAUAUUAAUGAAUGUUAAUAAUAUUUGGAAAAGUAUGUAACACAUAAUUAAAAAAAAAAAAAACCAUAAAGUGGUGGAUUUUUUCCUAGAACAU
Benincasa hispida (wax gourd) is the source of this 4277-nucleotide non-coding RNA. The record is from RefSeq and is a predicted model, not a curated record. Lineage: Eukaryota; Viridiplantae; Streptophyta; Magnoliopsida; Cucurbitales; Cucurbitaceae.